AUUGUUUCUCGGCCUUUUGGCCAAGAUCAAGUGAAGUAUCUGUUCUUAUCCGUUAUUAUCUGAUAUGUCCUCUCUCUGAGGACAAUACAUUCAAUGGAUUUUUGGAGCAGGGAAAUGGAAUAGGAGCUUACUCUGUCCACUCCACACAUCGACCUGGUAUUGCAACACCUCAAGAAAUGGUGCACCCCCU
Small nuclear RNA from Echinops telfairi (small Madagascar hedgehog), 190 nucleotides. RefSeq annotates it as U2 spliceosomal RNA. The transcript has a single exon. The record is from RefSeq and is a predicted model, not a curated record. Lineage: Eukaryota; Metazoa; Chordata; Mammalia; Afrosoricida; Tenrecidae.